Molecule: ribosomal RNA, 484 nt
Filed under: uncultured bacterium
Lineage: Bacteria
Description: partial 16S ribosomal RNA
Rfam family: Bacterial small subunit ribosomal RNA
Source: RNAcentral
AUUGAACGCUGGCGGCAGGCCUAACACAUGCCAGUCGAGCGGAUGAAGGGAGCUUGCUCCUGGAUUCAGCGGCGGACGGGGGCGUAAUCCCUAGGAAUCUGCCUCGUAGAGGGUGAUAACGUCCGGAAACGCACGCUAAUACCACAUACGUCCUGAGGGAGAAAGGGAGGGAUCUUCGGUCCUCACGCUUUCAGAUGAGCCUAGGUCGGAUUAGCUAGUUGCUGGGGUAAACGCCUACUAAGGCAACGAUCCGUAACUGGACUGAGAGGAUGACCAGUCACACUGGAACUUAGACACGGUACAGUCUCCUACGGGAGGCAGCAGUGGGUAAUAAUGGACAAUGGGCGAAAGCCUGAUGCAGCCAUGCCGCGUGUGUGAAGAAGGUCUUCGGAUUGUAAAGCACUUUAAGUUGGGAGGAAGGGCAGUAAGUUAAUACCUUGGUGUUUUGACGUUACCCACAGAAUAAGCACCGGCUAACUACGUG